Molecule: long non-coding RNA, 378 nt
Organism: Helianthus annuus (common sunflower)
Lineage: Eukaryota; Viridiplantae; Streptophyta; Magnoliopsida; Asterales; Asteraceae
Exons: 3
Source: RefSeq, a predicted model, not a curated record
UUUAGGGUUUUUAACCCACAAGUAAUGUUUAAGUCCAUGACUUAAUGUAGGUGUGAUUAUGAACUAACUUGGGUUGUCGAACAUAAAAUCCCCACAUUGCUUGAUAAUUUCUUAUAGUGUAGUUUUUUAUAUUCUUGUAUUAUUCAUAGUUCAUGACCAUCCUUGUAGGUUUUUACAUCAAGUGUAGUGGUGAACAGUUAUGGGUACCUAAAUGGAAGACUUCUCUUCCUACCUCCUACAUGAUUUCCAUGAUACUUAGAGAAGGACCUGGUGUUCCAACCUCCUAAUCAACAACAACUCACUCACGGAUUCAGGAAGAAGACUUGCAAAACCGUUGAGGAUUGAUGAUGCUAUGAAAUGGAUUAGCAAUGAUGCCUA